This is a non-coding RNA of Polychaeton citri CBS 116435, 89 nucleotides long. Lineage: Eukaryota; Fungi; Ascomycota; Dothideomycetes; Capnodiales; Capnodiaceae. The record is from the annotation of a GenBank genome assembly.
GGUUGUAUAGUGUAGCGGUCAUCACAUCGGAUUCUGAUUCUUCCAAUCAGAAGUUUCCGGUAACCCCGGUUCGAAUCCGGGUACGACCU